Molecule: long non-coding RNA, 210 nt
Filed under: Nicotiana benthamiana
Lineage: Eukaryota; Viridiplantae; Streptophyta; Magnoliopsida; Solanales; Solanaceae
Description: long non-coding RNA (NBEN_LNC000317)
Source: RNAcentral
UAAUGGGAAAUGCCUAAUUUUGAAUCUAUAAAGUUAAAGUUCAAGUAUUUGUAAGCAUGUAUGUAGUAAUCCUUUUGUUCUAUUUUCAGUAAAUUCUUCUGCUUCUACGAUCUCUGCCAAUCUCAAUAGCAUCCCUGUGCUUAACGACACAAAUUUUAAGGAAUGGAAAGAGAAUGUAAUGAUCAUUCUCGGUUGCAUGGAUCUUGACUU